RNAcentral lists this transfer RNA (65 nucleotides) under Peregrinus maidis (corn hopper). Its description in RNAcentral is "tRNA-Asp". The record is from RNAcentral. Lineage: Eukaryota; Metazoa; Arthropoda; Insecta; Hemiptera; Delphacidae.
AAGGAAUUAGUUUAAAAAAAACGUUAAUGUGUCAAAUUAAAAUUACUAUUAUAAUGUAUUUCUUU